This 386-nucleotide ribosomal RNA is filed under the name Dehalococcoidia bacterium. Its description in RNAcentral is "bacterial LSU rRNA". It matches the Rfam family "Bacterial large subunit ribosomal RNA", at positions 2541 to 2925 of the family's 2925-position model. Lineage: Bacteria; Bacillati; Chloroflexota; Dehalococcoidia. The record is from RNAcentral.
CACAUCCUGGGGCUGGAGAAGGCCCCAAGGGUUGGUCUGUUCGCCCAUUAAAGUGGCACGCGAGCUGGGUUCAGACCGUCGUGAGACAGGUCGGUCUCUAUCCGUCGUGGGCGCAGGAGAUUUGAGAGGAGCUCUCCCUAGUACGAGAGGACCGGGAGGGACAGACCUCUGGUUUGCCAGUUGUCCCGCCAGGGGCAUUGCUGGGUAGCUAUGUCUGGAUCGGAUAAGCACUGAAAGCAUCUAAGUGCGAAGCCGACCUCAAGAUGAGAUCUCCCACCGGGUUAACCGGGUAAGACUGCAGCGAGACUAGCUGCUUGAUAGGCGGCAUGUGUAAGCGGAGCAAUCCGUUCAGCUAAGCCGUACUAAUCGGUCGAGGGCUUUUGCCA